RNAcentral lists this ribosomal RNA (442 nucleotides) under Sernokorba pallidipatellis. Its description in RNAcentral is "partial 16S ribosomal RNA". Lineage: Eukaryota; Metazoa; Arthropoda; Arachnida; Araneae; Gnaphosidae. The record is from RNAcentral.
UANGUAAUCUGCUCAUGAAUAUUCAAUAGCCGCAAAUUCUGUGCUAAGGUAGCAUAAUCAUUCGUUUUUUAAUUGAAAACUAGAACAAAAGAUUUAAUAUUUUAAAAAAUAUCACUAAUUUAUUAUAUCAAAUUAUUUUAAGUAUAUAAAAAAUACUUAUAAAAAAGAAAGACGACAAGACCCUAUUGAACUUAACUAUAGUUAAACUGGGGCAGUUAAUUAAUUAAAAUUUUAAUUAAAAUCUUUAUUAAAUUGACCUAAUAUAAUUAAUUAUAUAAUAAAGUUACCAUAGGGAUAACAGCAUAAUAUUUAUUUAAAGUUCUUAUAUAAAUAAAAGAUUAUGACCUCGAUGUUGAAUUAAUAACCUAAAUUAAGAAAAAUUAAUAUAAGGAAGUCUGUUCGACUUUUAAAAAAUUACAUGAUCUGAGUCAAAACCCGGAGA